GACCGUGCUAAGGUAGCAUAAUCAUUUGCCCUUUAACUGGGGGCUGGUAUGAACGAGAUGACGACGCNUAAAACUUUCCUUAAAAUUUAUGCUAGAAAUUAAUAUCUGCUUUAAAAAGAGCAGCUUAUCGGGGGGACGAUAAGACCCCGUGAAACUUCAUUUUAAGCGCAAUUGGUGAUUUUGAAAAGCACUGUCUUGCGCAAAAAAUUAAGCUGGGGCGGCAUUUAACUGUGAACUUUAAUAGACAAAACACGAAUUAGUGUAGAUUAGAGAUCUUUGUGCAAAAGAGUUAGAACAAGUUACUCCGGGGAUAACAGCACAAUUCUUCCGUAUAGACCUUAUAGAAGGAAGGGACUUGUGACCUCGAUGUUGAAUUGAAGGGACCUUUCUGCGCAGAGGCAGAAUGUGGCCAGGUCUGUUCGACCCUUAAAACUUCA
This 437-nucleotide ribosomal RNA is filed under the name Mirabilicoxa sp. RNAcentral's name for it is "partial 16S ribosomal RNA". It matches the Rfam family "Bacterial large subunit ribosomal RNA", at positions 1944 to 2598 of the family's 2925-position model. The record is from RNAcentral. Lineage: Eukaryota; Metazoa; Arthropoda; Malacostraca; Isopoda; Desmosomatidae.